CGAACCUGCCUCAUACAGAGGGAUAAUCAUGUGAAAACGUGACUAAUACCGCAUGUCAUUUGUUGAAGGCAUCUUCGACAAAGAAAAGGAAGCAAUCCGGUAUGAGAUGGGCCCGCAUCUGAUUAGCUAGUUGGUGAGAUAACAGCCCACCAAGGCGACGAUCAGUAGCCGACCUGAGAGGGUGAUCGGCCACAUUGGGACUGAGACACGGCCCAA
RNAcentral lists this ribosomal RNA (216 nucleotides) under uncultured bacterium. RNAcentral describes it as "partial 16S ribosomal RNA". It matches the Rfam family "Bacterial small subunit ribosomal RNA", at positions 122 to 334 of the family's 1533-position model. The record is from RNAcentral.